AGUGGCGGACGGGUGAGUAACGCGUGGGUAACCUGCCUCACACAGGGGGAUAACAGUUGGAAACGACCGCUAAUACCGCAUAAGCCAACAGGGGCGCAUGCUCUGGUUGGAAAAGAUUUAUCGGUGUGAGAUGGACCCGCGUCUGAUUAGCCAGUUGGCAGGGUAACGGCCUACCAAAGCGACGAUCAGUAGCCGGCCUGAGAGGGUGAACGGCCACAUUGGGACUGAGACACGGCCCAAACUCCUACGGGAGGCAGCAG
Molecule: ribosomal RNA, 260 nt
Filed under: uncultured bacterium
Lineage: Bacteria
Description: partial 16S ribosomal RNA
Rfam family: Bacterial small subunit ribosomal RNA
Source: RNAcentral